Molecule: long non-coding RNA, 904 nt
Filed under: Pongo abelii (Sumatran orangutan)
Lineage: Eukaryota; Metazoa; Chordata; Mammalia; Primates; Hominidae
Description: lincRNA
Source: RNAcentral
UGAAAGAGGAUGGCAAUCUCGCUGAAGCUGUUUCUUUUUCUUCACAACAUAUAGGAAAGUGUUGCCCCUUUUUGGAGAAAGUAACAACCUCCACCGACACUACUUGAAUCAGUAUUGGACAAAUGUCAGGUACUUGGGAAACUCUCCAGCCCUAUCCCCUGUCCUGGCCGGGUGUGCUCCAAGUGCACCAUUUGGCUAAGUCAAUUUGAAAUAUUUGGGAGACCUUUGUACCUACGAUUCCUUCUGCUUGGAAGAUCCUUUCUGUUUUGUCAGCUCUUACUUCCCUGUUGUGGAAAACUGAUCUGACCUCCUAGUCCUGAAUCAGGGGCCAUAAAGAAAACUGAUGAGGACAACUGGCCUCCCAGUAUGUGGAUUCAGUUUCCGUAUGUCAAUUUAUCAACUCCCACUGGUAGUCUGAAGAGUUAUGGCUACUGGAGAACAGAAAAUCACCAGUAUUAAUAAAAGCAAUUUUAAGUGUUUACCUUUUAGUAUUUGAAUAGCUUUGUUAAAGAGACAUACUCAAGAAUACUAUGAAGAGACUUAUUGUACUCCUUACCUGGAGAUAAUUGUGAUGCCAGAAAUUCAAAUUUAUAUUCAACAAUAUGGUUUUUCACCAUCAAUAUUAUAAACAUCUAGGCAGUGUUUAUUGUUUGCGCAUUUGCCAUCCUCUAAAAUGAGAUUAUUCUAAGCAUAAAUUAUACUUCAUCAUUCAAGAUUAUAAACAUUUAUAAUAAUCAUAAUAUUCACGGACAUUUCCCUGCUCUCAAAUCACUAGAGCUAAUAGGCAAAGUAGAUACAGCUACAAACAGCGGGAGAAAAUGUUUCUGGCUGACCUACAAAUAGCUGUGCAAUAAUGUAGAGAGGAAAAUAUAGUCUCACUUGUAGUGUCUGAAAUUGAGUUUCC